UACGAAGGGUGCAAGCGUUAUCCGGAUUCACUGGGUUUAAAGGGUGCGUAGGAGGGCAGGUAAGUCAGUGGUGAAAUCUUUGGGCUUAACCCGAAAACUGCCAUUGAUACUAUCUGUCUUGAAUCCCGUGGAGGUGAGCGGAAUAUGUCAUGUAGCGGUGAAAUGCUUAGAUAUGACAUAGAACACCAAUUGCGAAGGCAGCUCGCUACACGAAGAUUGACUCUGAGGCACGAAAGCGUGGGGAUCAAACAGG
This 253-nucleotide ribosomal RNA is filed under the name uncultured bacterium. RNAcentral describes it as "partial 16S ribosomal RNA". It matches the Rfam family "Bacterial small subunit ribosomal RNA", at positions 524 to 776 of the family's 1533-position model. The record is from RNAcentral.